AGCUCCGCAGCGCGUCGCUCCAGGAGUGCGAGGAGCCAUAGAUGGCGCUGCCGUCCAGCCAACCCGUCACCUCGUUGGUCUGCGGGGGUACCGGGAGGGUGAGCCCAGGGUGAGCCGCGGGCGGAGUAGCUGAGACGGGGUUUAAACCCCUUGGAGCACUCAGAUACCAGAACAAUUAAAGGCAGAGAAGUGAUGUCAACCUUUGCGGCCCUUUUGUUUUUCAUCAAUUAGGACCUGAACUCUGUCUCCCUGAGAUGACUUUUGCCUAAAUUCUAGGCUGAAUUCCCCACUGUACAAGUGCCUUUGUGAAUCUGUAUGUACCCUUAGCUUAAAACUUCCCAGUUUUGUUGUUUGGAAAGACAUUGCUUUGGGAAAUAACCCCUACAUUCUCCUUUACUUUUUCCAAGUAAAACUCUUCCCUUUCCUAUUC
Felis catus (domestic cat) is the source of this 430-nucleotide long non-coding RNA. RefSeq lists it as uncharacterized. The record is from RefSeq and is a predicted model, not a curated record. The transcript has 2 exons. NCBI's taxonomy places the organism in Eukaryota, Metazoa, Chordata, Mammalia, Carnivora, Felidae.